This 121-nucleotide microRNA precursor is filed under the name Loxodonta africana (African savanna elephant). Its description in RNAcentral is "miRNA (ENSLAFG00000033249.1)". The stretch from base 39 to 90 matches the Rfam family "mir-1302 microRNA precursor family". Lineage: Eukaryota; Metazoa; Chordata; Mammalia; Proboscidea; Elephantidae. The record is from RNAcentral.
CCCAGUUAAAUUUGAAUGUAAGAUAAACAGUGAAUUUUGUUUUAGUAUAAGUAUGUUCCGUGCAAUAUUUGGGAAAUACUUAUACUAAAAACAUUGCUGUUCAUCUGAAGUUCAAAUUUAA